GCUGGGAUAGAUCAGUUGGUAGAGAAAAGGACUGAAAAUCCUUAUGCCACCAGUUCAAAUCGGGUUCCUAGAA
Non-coding RNA from Picea glauca (white spruce), 73 nucleotides. Lineage: Eukaryota; Viridiplantae; Streptophyta; Pinopsida; Pinales; Pinaceae. The record is from Rfam.